UACAUUUAUAGUGUAUGAUGCACAAAAAUUUUUGAAGUUUUAAGUAAUAGUUUAAUUCUAUUUAAUGUAA
Molecule: transfer RNA, 70 nt
Filed under: Euphyllodromia sp. Z257
Lineage: Eukaryota; Metazoa; Arthropoda; Insecta; Blattodea; Pseudophyllodromiidae
Description: tRNA-Gln
Rfam family: tRNA
About the family: Transfer RNA (tRNA) molecules are approximately 80 nucleotides in length.
Source: RNAcentral